GAAGAUGAUGCCAUGUAGAAAUAACAUUAAAUGUUGCUCUAGCAACUUCCAUCUUAAAGGCUUAGAGAAGGAAUCCUCUGAGCAGCUCAUUGAAUUUCAUGGGAGACUCCGCUGCCAUUGCAAAUGCUGGCUCAGAAAUCCUGGAUAGAAAGAGCAUUUUAUAAAAGAGAAUGUGUCCACAUCAUACCCAGCACCAAAGACCCCCAUAGGUGUUGCUGUGGGCGUCUGAUAGGCCAGCAUGUUGGCCUCACCCCCAGUAUCUCCGUGCUUCAGAAUGAGAAAAAUGAAAGUCGCCUCUCCCGAAAUGACAUCCAGUCUGAAAAGUGGUCCAUCAGCAAACACACUCAACUCAGCCCUACGGAUGCUUUUGGGACCAUUGAGUUCCAAGGAGGUGGCCAUU
Molecule: long non-coding RNA, 400 nt
Filed under: Homo sapiens (human)
Lineage: Eukaryota; Metazoa; Chordata; Mammalia; Primates; Hominidae
Description: non-protein coding lnc-KLF9-4:1
Source: RNAcentral